This 68-nucleotide transfer RNA is filed under the name Antimora microlepis (finescale mora). RNAcentral describes it as "tRNA-Asp". It matches the Rfam family "tRNA". From Rfam's summary of the family: Transfer RNA (tRNA) molecules are approximately 80 nucleotides in length. Their secondary structure includes four short double-helical elements and three loops (D, anti-codon, and T loops). The record is from RNAcentral. Lineage: Eukaryota; Metazoa; Chordata; Actinopteri; Gadiformes; Moridae.
GGAUUACUAGUGAAAUAUCACAUUGCCUUGUCAAGGCAAAAUUGUGGGUUAAAGUCCCACGUAGUCCU